CCUGGGUGGAGAGAGGCACUGUGAGAGUAAAGUGUCUUGCUCAAGAACACGACACAAUGUCCCCGGCCAGGGUUCUAACCCGGACCGUGCAAUCUCGAGGCGAGUGUGCUAGCUAUUGGGCCAUCGCACCUCCACGAGAAGAAAGAUGACAGCUGCCUUUCUCAUUCAACCACCCCGCUUAACCGUAACGGUGACAAAAUGAUUGCGAAUCGGUUAACUAGCUGUGCAUUGUUUUCAAUUCCAGGUUGUCAGAUAACAAAUGCAUCAUCGAAUAUAUCGAUACAGUUUUAUCUUGAGGCCAGUUAUUUGCAUCAAGAAAACGGAGCUUCUGUUUCGGAACUGACUGGCAUUCCACUGUAGACGGGAACAACGUUAGGGACAAAAAGUGUGUUGGUGUCCCGUCUUGGAUAAAGGCCCACCCGAUUUGAUCUGAAGGCCCAUAUUCGGCCCAUGGACAUUGCGGGAGAGUAAUGCCCUAGUGUUAGCCAAUCAAGGCGCGCGUUAUAUCGGCUACAAACGCUAGUCAUAUAAUGAAGAUUUAACUCCGUGCUUUGAAUACAAAUCAUGCUAGCGUACACUUUGGCAAGUACCACUUCCUUAUUUCGAAACGUGUGUGGAAUAUCAAGUGCUCACAAGAUAACACUGUAUAGUGUCUACAGACAAACGUGUCUUCAAUAUAGUCGGACAUGAUCCGGUAAUCCCGCUUUAUUGAUUACGUUAGCAUGGCUAGGUGCACUAUCGUCCCAUAGCUUAAUUAACGAUUUAUAUGAAAAAAAAAAGAAAAGAAAACCGUGACGUACCUUGAUCAAAGGAAACCAGUCGAUUGUAAUAAUGGUUUGAAUUUGAAGAACAGUAGUUGCUAUGUGAAAUGACAGAAAUCCAUAAGGAAGGAAGAAUCAUUUUUAUUUCAAGAAAGAGAACGAACUUUCAAAACAUUUUCUCCUGCUUCAAGUAGUUUCGAGAGGGUCUUUGGAAGACGAGGAAAGCUGUAAAAACGUGAGCCGUAGGCGAGUGUUUUCACAGCUUUUUCUAGUUGUCCCACUAGCGAGUGCUGAUAUGGAAACCAAACAAGGGAAGUUUUCGUUCUAUCCAAGGAAGUUGAGUAAGGAGUAACGAUGCAAUGCCGUAGAAACAUCAGCCGUGGGCGAGAUUUUUCAUGAUUUUAUCGAAAUCAAACAAAGGAAGGUUCCUUUCUAUCCAAGGAAAUUGACUGAAGAAGUAACUAUACAGACCAGAGGAAACAUGAGCCAUGAGCGUGUUCCCGUACCUUUUUUGAGUUGUCUCGCAAGAGAAUGUUGCCAUAACUUUAUGAAAACCAAACAAUCCAUGUGAUGUUUUUUUCUUUUUUUCUCGAAGGUAAAAGCGUAUAGGAUGUUUAUAGGAAGCUAUAUAUUGCCGUGGAAAUAUGUUUCGUAGUCUAGCCUUCCUAAAGCUGUUUUGGUUUCUACCGAACAGCCACUUUAUGGAGAGUAAAGGAAAGAACCUUUUUCCUAGGAAGAGGUAGAAAGGAUAUUCUGUGAAAACGAGAAAAACUAAGUGGGCAUAGGAACGUAGGCGAGUUUUUCGACACCUGCAUUUUGCGAGUGUGUUCUCCCACACGGAAAUUGUAUCUAGUUAUAUUGUCGUUGUAUCCAGGGAAAACCAGAGGAAGUAGAAUGUGCAAUUCAAAAUUACAAACUGAUACAAUGUUGUGCAAGCAUGAACCGUAGGCGCGUAUUCGUAUAGCUGUUGUCCCCCGCACAUAAGUGUUUCCGUAAUUCUACAUACGACAUGGGAAACCCUGUAUAUUUCAAAUUCAAUUUGAAAUAUACAGUUACCCAGGAAGUUAAAUAUUAAGCAUUAUUUUUAAAAAAGUAUAAAAAAAUAGAAGCAAGCUGCAAGCACUAACCGUACGCGAGUGUUUCAACAGCUGUAUCGUGUUUUGUCACUUUUUUGUGAGUAUUCCCAUAACGACAGACACACGUUGAAGUUUUCAAGCUCGAUCUCGAACGGAGAAGGAACCGAUUUCAGGAUUCAACUAUAAUACAGAAACAAGCUGCUACUUUGAAACUUUGCAUUAAUUGUGACAGACUUUGAGAUAUCAAUGUUACAAUAUCAAAGUUUCAAUUUGAAUUCGCCCUCGCUUGCUGAAUGACGAUUGAUGGAAUACAUAGGAUUCUUUGCGUUUUAGAUUCUUACAAUGAAAAUUGUCUUCUUCGACAGUUUAAAAACCUUAAAGUUCAGUUAUUUACAAGGAAAUACUUAGAUGAACACGUUUGUAUUGUUUUUACAGCUUGCAUAGCUCAUAAAUAAAUAAUAUUCUUUUUUACUGAUUAUUCAGAGAUACUUGAAUAAAGCUCUCUAUGAAAA
Molecule: long non-coding RNA, 2349 nt
Organism: Orbicella faveolata
Lineage: Eukaryota; Metazoa; Cnidaria; Anthozoa; Scleractinia; Merulinidae
Source: RefSeq, a predicted model, not a curated record